RNAcentral lists this transfer RNA (66 nucleotides) under Etisus dentatus. RNAcentral describes it as "tRNA-Phe". The record is from RNAcentral. Lineage: Eukaryota; Metazoa; Arthropoda; Malacostraca; Decapoda; Xanthidae.
AUUUACAUAAUUUAUAAUCAGAAUAUUGCAUUGAAGCUGCAAAAGAGGUCAAAAGACCUGUGAAUA